ACCUACGGCCACACUGGACUGAAAGCACCCAAUCUCGGAAGCUAAGCGGUCCCAGGCCUGGCUAGUACAUGGAUGGGAGACCGCCUGGGAAUCCUGGGUGCAGUAGGCU
RNAcentral lists this ribosomal RNA (109 nucleotides) under Sphenodon punctatus (tuatara). Lineage: Eukaryota; Metazoa; Chordata; Lepidosauria; Sphenodontia; Sphenodontidae. The record is from RNAcentral.